RNAcentral lists this unclassified non-coding RNA (344 nucleotides) under soil metagenome. Its description in RNAcentral is "partial contains 5.8S ribosomal RNA, internal transcribed spacer 2, and large subunit ribosomal RNA". The stretch from base 1 to 119 matches the Rfam family "5.8S ribosomal RNA", at positions 35 to 154 of the family's 154-position model. The record is from RNAcentral.
GAUGAAGAACGCAGCGAAAUGCGAUACGUAAUGUGAAUUGCAAAUUCAGUGAAUCAUCGAGUCUUUGAACGCACAUUGCGCCCCCUGGUAUUCCGGGGGGCAUGCCUGUCCGAGCGUCAUUGCUGCCCUCAAGCACGGCUUGUGUGUUGGGCCCCGUCCUCCGAUCCCGGGGGACGGGCCCGAAAGGCAGCGGCGGCACCGCGUCCGGUCCUCGAGCGUAUGGGGCUUUGUCACCCGCUCUGUAGGCCCGGCCGGCGCUUGCCGAUCAACCCAAAUUUUUAUCAGGUUGACCUCGGAUCAGGUAGGGAUACCCGCUGAACUUAAGCAUAUCAAUAAGCGGAGGA